UGAGUUUCCUCCUUUUUGGAAUGUUCCACUAUGAGUCUAGAUCCUUGGAUAUGGUUUGGGCCACUACAAAACUGAGUCUGAGCUGAAGAUGCUUAAUUUCCUUCUCCUUCUUGAAGCUGGAGAGCAGCAAGGGCUGACCUUUAAGAAAUUCUGCUUAACUGGUGUCUAACAACAGCAAGUAGAGCAAAACAAGCCCAAACUUAUUUGAAUCUUGUGGAUGGAAGUCUGCCAGACCUUGCUAUUUCCUCUUGUUGGUAAUCUCCUGAAGUAAGACAUAGUAAACCAGUGGCUACAUCAAAUCAUCUCAAGUUUCAUCUAUUUCAACAACCACAAAAUGUUCAACUGCCUUCCUCCUGCCUCCUUCACCUAGUUCUUAAUCAACCUCUCAUGUACUUUGGCCUGUUCAUAGCAAGCCUUCCUUCCUGCCACCAAAUCAGAGAACAGACGCUGGCUUCACCACACCAAGGAAAAAGACCAUGGAUUUUACAACUCACAAAGCUGCUAUGCACAGACAACACUCCAGGAAAAUAAUCUGGGAGAUGUUUGGUGGGGAUUUGGGGCUGCACCAUCUGGUUGCCCCGAUGUACCUCAUUGCCACAAAGCCUAGGGACCACGUGAGCAAAAAACUUCCGCGAACACUGUACACUAAAAAUCAUAACCAACAACCAGAGCUCAUUUUGGAGGGGCUACAACACAUAUGCUACAAAGUGCACAUCCAUCACUUCCUGUGAGCAGUGAGAUACAAAAAUUGGCAAGGGAAGAAGUGGUUUUAUUGUUGCCUGGCUUGUUGCCCCUUCUGCUGCCCCCAUCUCCAAAGUAUGUAGGGGCAGCCACGCCCAAAGAGAAGUCCUGCCACCAGGUUGACCAAAGAUGCUUUAAUAAACCGAAGAAAAGAAGCACAUUCUGUUCUCACAAAAUAAUAUCAGUAACUUUUUUUCCCCCAGUCCCAGUGUUUAAAACUAGCCAUCAUAUAGAAA
This is a long non-coding RNA of Gallus gallus (chicken), 977 nucleotides long. The record is from Ensembl. Lineage: Eukaryota; Metazoa; Chordata; Aves; Galliformes; Phasianidae.